This 545-nucleotide ribosomal RNA is filed under the name uncultured bacterium. Its description in RNAcentral is "bacterial SSU rRNA". It matches the Rfam family "Bacterial small subunit ribosomal RNA", at positions 777 to 1320 of the family's 1533-position model. The record is from RNAcentral.
AAUAGAUACCCAGGUAGUCCACGCCGUAAACGAUGAGUGCUAAGUGUUAGGGGGUUUCCGCCCCUUAGUGCUGCAGCUAACGCAUUAAGCACUCCGCCUGGGGAGUACGGUCGCAAGACUGAAACUCAAAGGAAUUGACGGGGGCCCGCACAAGCGGUGGAGCAUGUGGUUUAAUUCGAAGCAACGCGAAGAACCUUACCAGGUCUCGACAUCCCAUUGACCACUAUGGAGACAUAGUUUUCCCUUCGGGGACAACGGUGACAGGUGGUGCAUGGUUGUCGUCAGCUCGUGUCGUGAGAUGUUGGGUUAAGUCCCGCAACGAGCGCAACCCUUGUUCUUAGUUGCCAUCAUUUAGUUGGGCACUCUAAGGAGACUGCCGGUGACAAACCGGAGGAAGGUGUGGAUGACGUCAAAUCAUCAUGCCCCUUAUGACCUGGGCUACACACGUGCUACAAUGGACGGUACAAACGGUUGCCAACCCGCGAGGGGGAGCUAAUCCGAUAAAACCGUUCUCAGUUCGGAUUGUAGGCUGCAACUCGCCUACA